UCCGUAGGGUCCGAGCGUUGUCCGGAAUUACUGGGCGUAAAGAGCUCGUAGGUGGUUUGUCGCGUUGUUCGUGAAAACUCACAGCUCAACUGUGGGCGUGCGGGCGAUACGGGCAGACUGGAGUACUGCAGGGGAGACUGGAAUUCCUGGUGUAGCAGUGAAAUGCGUAGAUAUCAGGAGGAACACCGAUGGCGAAGGCAGGUCUCUGGGCUGACACUGACGCUCAUGCACGAAAGCGUGGGGAGCAAACAGG
Molecule: ribosomal RNA, 253 nt
Filed under: uncultured bacterium
Lineage: Bacteria
Description: partial 16S ribosomal RNA
Rfam family: Bacterial small subunit ribosomal RNA
Source: RNAcentral